CAAAUUUAUCCAAUCCUGUCCCGUAAAAGUUUGUAAAUGAAAUAUAGACCGAAAGGAUUUCGAUUCGAUAUUGUUGAAUUCCAAAAUUAAUUAAAUCCAAAAUAAUUUACAUAAAAACCAAGAGAAGAAGCCCCUGUAUCCCAUAGAAAAAUUUAUAUACACAUAAACUCUGUUAAAACUUAUUCGUCUCCUUGCUAAGUUGGUGAUCCGUUAGUAAACCUUCCCUAGAUCAAAAAAAAUCGAAAAUUAAUAAAAACCUUCAUACCUUACGAGCCUUCAACUUUUCCUGCUUUUGCAGCGAUUUACUAAUUUUGGUAUCCAACCUUUCCUCUCUCGCCUGAGCCUUCAAAGCAGCGGCCAGUUUAUCCUUAGCCUUUUUUGAAGUCUGCUUUUUGUUUUUCUUCUUUUUACUUAUGCCGUUGCUCUCUGAUCCUCCAGAUCUUAAAGCUAUGUUAGCAAUUUCUUUUGCAACUUUCUCCUUCACAGAAAGCUUUGUUUCAUUCUCAAUUGCCGUAGAACUAUCUAAAUCGUAAGCAGGGUCCGAUCUCCGAAAAUUUCUACUACGAAUUGACUGUUUUUUAG
This is a non-coding RNA of Schizosaccharomyces pombe (fission yeast), 582 nucleotides long. The record is from the annotation of a GenBank genome assembly. Lineage: Eukaryota; Fungi; Ascomycota; Schizosaccharomycetes; Schizosaccharomycetales; Schizosaccharomycetaceae.